CUACACACGUGCUACAAUGGCGCGUACAGAGGGCUGCAAGCUAGCGAUAGUGAGCGAAUCCCAAAAAGCGCGUCGUAGUCCGGAUCGGAGUCUGCAACUCGACUCCGUGAAGUCGGAAUCGCUAGUAAUCGCAAAUCAGAAUGUUGCGGUGAAUACGUUCCCGGGCCUUGUACACACCGCCCGUCACACCAUGGGAGUGGGUUGCACCAG
Molecule: ribosomal RNA, 210 nt
Filed under: Aeromonas sp.
Lineage: Bacteria; Pseudomonadati; Pseudomonadota; Gammaproteobacteria; Aeromonadales; Aeromonadaceae
Description: partial 16S ribosomal RNA
Rfam family: Bacterial small subunit ribosomal RNA
Source: RNAcentral